Molecule: ribosomal RNA, 1386 nt
Filed under: metagenome
Description: bacterial SSU rRNA
Rfam family: Bacterial small subunit ribosomal RNA
Source: RNAcentral
AGAGUUUGAUCCUGGCUCAGGAUGAACGCUGGCGGCGUGCUUAACACAUGCAAGUCGAACGAACCUUCGGGUUAGUGGCGGACGGGUGAGUAACGCGUGGGAAUCUGCCCUCAGGAGGGGGAUAACGGCUGGAAACGGCCGCUAAUACCCCAUAUGCCGAGAGGUGAAAAGAAAUUCGCCUGAGGAUGAGCCCGCGUCUGAUUAGCUAGUUGGUGGGGUAAGAGCUCACCAAGGCACGAUCAGUAGCUGGUCUGAGAGGAUGAUCAGCCACACUGGGACUGAGACACGGCCCAGACUCCUACGGGAGGCAGCAGUGGGGAAUUUUCCGCAAUGGGCGAAAGCCUGACGGAGCAACGCCGCGUGAGGGAUGAAGGCCUCUGGGCUGCAAACCUCUUUUCUCAAGGAAGAAGACAUGACGGUACUUGAGGAAUAAGCCACGGCUAAUUCCGUGCCAGCAGCCGCGGUAAUACGGGAGUGGCAAGCGUUAUCCGGAAUUAUUGGGCGUAAAGCGUCCGCAGGCGGCCCUGUAAGUCUGUCGUUAAAGCGUGGAGCUUAACUCCAUUUAAGCGAUGGAAACUACAGGGCUUGAGUGUGGUAGGGGCAGAGGGAAUUCCCGGUGUAGCGGUGAAAUGCGUAGAUAUCGGGAAGAACACCAGUGGCGAAGGCGCUCUGCUGGGCCAUAACUGACGCUCAUGGACGAAAGCCAGGGGAGCGAAAGGGAUUAGAUACCCCUGUAGUCCUGGCCGUAAACGAUGAACACUAGGUGUCGGGGGAAUCGACCCCCUCGGUGUCGUAGCCAACGCGUUAAGUGUUCCGCCUGGGGAGUACGCACGCAAGUGUGAAACUCAAAGGAAUUGACGGGGGCCCGCACAAGCGGUGGAGUAUGUGGUUUAAUUCGAUGCAACGCGAAGAACCUUACCAGGGUUUGACAUCCUGCGAAUCCCUUGGAAACGAGGGAGUGCCUUCGGGAGCGCAGAGACAGGUGGUGCAUGGCUGUCGUCAGCUCGUGUCGUGAGAUGUUGGGUUAAGUCCCGCAACGAGCGCAACCCACGUCUUUAGUUGCCAGCAUUCAGUUGGGCACUCUAGAGAGACCGCCGGUGAUAAACCGGAGGAAGGUGUGGAUGACGUCAAGUCAUCAUGCCCCUUACAUCCUGGGCUACACACGUACUACAAUGCUACGGACAAAGGGCAGCAAGCUCGCGAGAGUUAGCAAAUCCCAUAAACCGUGGCUCAGUUCAGAUCGUAGGCUGCAACUCGCCUACGUGAAGGAGGAAUCGCUAGUAAUCGCAGGUCAGCAUACUGCGGUGAAUACGUUCCCGGGCCUUGUACACACCGCCCGUCACACCAUGGAAGUUGGCCAUGCCCGAAGUCGUUACUCCAACCCAU